UUGACUCCCCUUUUUAUUUUGAAUAAAUGCUGCAGUUUAAGGAAGUCCCCUACAUGUUCCGAUAAUUAGUUGAAUAUUGUAAUUUGUAAAGUACUUGGAAGUUAAUAAUUUAUAAAUUCCGAAUUUCAUAACAUAAAGAUUGUUGGAAAUAAAAUUUGUCAAAUUGGAUCGAAAUAAGUCGAUGGUUUUUCCAGGGGUACACGAGUCAACGUGCUUUUUUUAUUUUUUCAGCGUUAUUCGACAAAAUCAGAAGAUAGGAUGGUAGAACUCUGACCGUCUCUUUCUACCGAGUUGACGCAGCGAGAAACGUGAGAAAGCAGAAUUUCUUGAGAGAGAUCUCAAUUCAAGCAUAGCAUCAUUAAUAAAAUUUUGUGAUUCUUCACAAAUUUCAUCGAGACCAGCCUGUGAGACUACCCUUUUA
This is a long non-coding RNA of Leptopilina heterotoma, 421 nucleotides long. RefSeq lists it as uncharacterized. The transcript has 3 exons. Lineage: Eukaryota; Metazoa; Arthropoda; Insecta; Hymenoptera; Figitidae. The record is from RefSeq and is a predicted model, not a curated record.